This 792-nucleotide ribosomal RNA is filed under the name uncultured bacterium. RNAcentral describes it as "bacterial SSU rRNA". It matches the Rfam family "Bacterial small subunit ribosomal RNA", at positions 8 to 796 of the family's 1533-position model. The record is from RNAcentral.
AGAGUUUGAUCCUGGCUCAGAACGAACGCUGGCGGCGUGCUUAACACAUGCAAGUCGCGUGCGCAGUUUCCGUAGCAAUACGGGGAUGGGCGCACGGCGCACGGGUGCGUAACACGUGGGCAAUCUGCCCUCCGAUGGGGAAUAUCCCCGCGAAAGCGGGACUAAUUCCGCAUAACAUUCCUUGGAUUAACUUUCGAGGAUUCAAAGCAGCAAUGCGUCGGAGGAGGAGCCCGCGCCCGAUUAGCUAGUUGGUGAGGUAACGGCUCACCAAGGCAAUGAUCGGUAGCUGGUCUGAGAGGAUGGCCAGCCACACUGGAACUGAGACACGGUCCAGACUCCUACGGGAGGCAGCAGUGGGGAAUCUUGCACAAUGGGCGAAAGCCUGAUGCAGCGACGCCGCGUGGGGGAUGAAGCUUUUCGGAGUGUAAACCCCUUUCGACUGGGACGAAUGCCUCGCAAGAGGAGUGACGGUACCAGUAUAAGAAGCCCCGGCUAACUACGUGCCAGCAGCCGCGGUAAGACGUAGGGGGCCAGCGUUGUUCGGAAUUACUGGGUGUAAAGGGUUCGUAGGCGGUGUGGCAAGUCGGGAGUGAAAUCUCUGGGCUCAACCCAGAGACUGCUUCCGAAACUGCUGUGCUUGAGUGUGAGAGAGGCUCGUGGAAUUGCAGGUGUAGCGGUGAAAUGCGUAGAUAUCUGCAGGAACACCCGUGGCGAAAGCGGCGAGCUGGAUCACUACUGACGCUGAGGAACGAAAGCUAGGGGAGCAAACAGGAUUAGAUACCCUAGUAGUCC